CCUACGGGUGGCAGCAGUGGGGAAUCUUCGGCAAUGGGCGCAAGCCUGAUGGAGCAACGCCGCGUGAAGGAAGAAGGCCUUCGGGUCGUAAACUUCUGUUCUCAGGGACGAAGAAAGUGACGGUACCUGAGGCAUAAGCCACGGCUAACUACGUGCCAGCAGACGCGGUAAUACGUAGGUGGCAAGCGUUAUCCGGAUUUAUUGGGUGUAAAGGGCGGGUAGGCGGGGGCGCAAGUCUGAUGUGAAAACUCAGGGCUCAACCCUGAGCCUGCAUUUGAAACUGUGUUUCUUGAGUGCUGGAGAGGCGAUCGGAACUCCGUGUGUAGCGGUGAAAUGCGUAGAUAUACGGAAGAACACCAGUGGCGAAGGCGGAUUGCUGGACAGUAACUGACGCUGAGGCGCGAAAGCGUGGGGAGCAAACAGGAUUAGAUACCCUUGUAGUC
This 443-nucleotide ribosomal RNA is filed under the name uncultured bacterium. RNAcentral's name for it is "partial 16S ribosomal RNA". It matches the Rfam family "Bacterial small subunit ribosomal RNA", at positions 338 to 795 of the family's 1533-position model. The record is from RNAcentral.